CGAAACUGACACAGGUGGUCAGGUAGAGCAUACCAAGGCGCUUGAGAGAACUCUGCUGAAGGAACUCGGCAAAUUGCACGCGUAACUUCGGAAGAAGCGUGACCCCAAGGUACGCAAGUAUUUUGGGGUGGCACAGACCAGGGGGUAGCGACUGUUUAUCAAAAACACAGGGCUCUGCGAAGUCGCAAGACGACGUAUAGGGUCUGACGCCUGCCCGGUGCUGGAAGGUUAAGAGGAGAGGUGCAAGCUUUGAAUCGAAGCCCCAGUAAACGGCGGCCGUAACGAUAACGGUCCUAAGGUAGCGAAAUUCCUUGUCGGGUAAGUUCCGACCUGCACGAAUGGCGUAACGAUGGCCACACUGUCUCCUCCUGGGACUCAGCGAAGUUGAAAUGUUUGUGAAGAUGCAAUCUCCCGCGGCAAGACGGAAAGACCCCGUGCACCUUAACUAUAAUUUUAUAUUGAAAGGGGUAAUUUAAUAUGAAGAAUAAUUAGGAGUUUAUGAUCUAUGUA
RNAcentral lists this ribosomal RNA (510 nucleotides) under uncultured bacterium. RNAcentral describes it as "bacterial LSU rRNA". It matches the Rfam family "Bacterial large subunit ribosomal RNA", at positions 1649 to 2168 of the family's 2925-position model. The record is from RNAcentral.